RNAcentral lists this ribosomal RNA (506 nucleotides) under uncultured bacterium. RNAcentral's name for it is "partial 16S ribosomal RNA". It matches the Rfam family "Bacterial small subunit ribosomal RNA", at positions 30 to 523 of the family's 1533-position model. The record is from RNAcentral.
AUUGAACGCUGGCGGCAGGCCUAACACAUGCAAGUCGAACGGUAGCACAAAGGAGCUUGCUCCUUGGGCGACGAGUGGCGGACGGGUGAGUAAUGUCUGGGAAACUGCCUGAUGGAGGGGGAUAACUACUGGAAACGGUAGCUAAUACCGCAUAACGUCGCAAGACCAAAGAGGGGGACCUUCGGGCCUCUUGCCAUCAGAUGUGCCCAGAUGGGAUUAGCUAGUAGGUGGGGUAAUGGCUCACCUAGGCGACGAUCCCUAGCUGGUCUGAGAGGAUGACCAGGCACACUGGAACUGAGACACGGUCCAGACGCCUACAGGAGGCAGCAGUGGGGAUUAUUGCACAAUGGGCGCAAGCCUGAUGCAGCCAUGCCGCGUGUAUGAAGAAGGCCUUCGGGUUGUAAAGUACUUUCAGCGGGGAGGAAGGUGAUACGGUUAAUAACCGUGUCAAUUGACGUUACCCGCAGAAGAAGCACCGGCUAACUCCGUGCCAGCCGCCGCCGUAA